UGUCCCUGCUGCCGCCGCCGCGCUCAUCUCCCACCUCGGGAUCCAUCCCUGUCCAAUCAGUGUCUGCGUCCUGAUCCAAAUCCCCUCGCCCUCCACCUCGCACCCGAGGGCCUCCCCGACCACCUCGCCGGGGAUGCGACCCCCUCUGCUUCCUCUUGUGACUGCAACAGCACCCGAGCUCCCUGCCUCCUCGCGCCUUUCUCACCUGCCCGAGAUCCACUCCUCCCACGCGCUCGGCCUCCACCAUCUUCCUCGCCGGGACUCGCUCCAGCUUCCUCUGCCGCAUCAAGAACGAUGACCACAACUUCGUGCCCGGCCGGACCCAGUCGUCGUCGUCACCUAAGAAGGUCGCCGACGCGUCCCUCCCUCUCCUCCUUGCACUCUUCCUUCCUCGGAUCCGUUUGCCUCACUGACCGCUGCAACCUGCAGGAGCAGGAGCGCGCCGACUAGGUCGCCCGCGUCCUCUGCAUCGCGGUCUCUCCUGCUUCGGCCUCCAGCCUUUGCCGUCGAGCGCCGCCUCCGCCUGGAUCCGUCAAGUCCCUUCGCCUCGCAAAGUUCCGCUCGUCCGAGCCCUUCCCCGCUGCCUACAAACCGCGCCGUCGGGCACCGUUCCCUCGCCGGACCUCCCCUGCUUCGCCAAUCCGUCGCCUUCCUUCGCGCCGUCCCUAUCGCCCGAGUCGCCGUGCCAAGUUCCGCCACCGCCGCUGCAAGUCCCGCUGCCGCCGAGCCUCUGCAUCGAGCCGCUGCAUCCCUCUGCUUCGUCAGAACACGAGCGCCCUGCCUCCUCUGUUCACUGGCGUCUCGACCUCCUCGAGCGACGCCCGAAACCGCGUUGACCCUUCCGAUCGAGCCCAGCAGCCGGCCCAGCUGCGCGCCUAGCAGCCCGAGCCGUCUCAGCCAGCCCACGGCCACUGCUUCCCAACUAGGCAAGGCCCAUGUUCCGGUUACGUUGCGAUUGUGAGGAUUCGUUCGACUACGCCCGUUCGUCUAUUUCAUGGAUUCGGUCUUCUUCCUAGCGGGAUUUCAGGCAAGAUGACCGUCACCUUGGAUCUCACUACUAUCUUUGGUAUGCUAGUUGUCUCGAUGAUAUCGCUAUGUCGCGCUACCUACCACUUGUUUAUCAAGCCUCCCAAAUUGCCAUGAUAGCCUCUAACCUUUUCCAUCAUCCUAGCAAACCGUUGUUUGGCUAUGUUACCGCUUUGCUCAGCCCCUCUUAUAGCGUUGCUAGUUGCAGGUGGAGUUGCAGGUUGUUCCAUGUUGGGACAUGGAUAUCACGGAUAUCAUGGGAUAUCACAAUAUCUCUUAUCUAAUUAAUGCAUAUAUAUUUAAACCAAUAAGGACCCUAGCCAACUCGGCCUCCGAGCACUCCCUCGACGCCAUGCAUUCCCAACCUUCGAUCCAGGUCAAUCCAAUCUUUGGCUUUGUCUGAAACGUUGGAUGUUCGCUGCUCGUUUCACUGGUCGUUUUCACCGCGCGGUAAGUUCGGGUGCCCAAUGACGGGUGGGCUCUUGGAGCAUUCAUCUUUUUUUCGAGAGUAUGCAAAUCACAUACCUUAGCUUUAUAAAAGAGAGAAGAAUUUUUACAAGGUUUGUUAGCCAGGAUACUACAGACUAGUAGCAGGCAACGGAAUUCCAAAUGAACCCACUCCUACUCCUCUACUAUACUCUAUAUGCUAAAAUCAGCUGCUCCUCUCCAUCCGACUAGCGUCCAUAGCCGCAUUUCCUCUUCGAUGAUUGCUACGAGAUCCACGGUGGUACAAAUUGAUGUUCGAUUGCCAAACACCCGAGCGGUCCUUUGCUUCCACAGAUUCCAGCAAAUUAGCAUGACCAUUGCGUCGAAACCUUUCCUGAGUUGUUUGGUCACCUGUUUUCUAGCAGCAAGCCACCAAGGUUGGAUGUGGUCAGUUGCUGUAGGGAUGAGCCCCAGGUUGAUUCUCCUCUUGCUGAAAACUAGAUACCAAACCUGCCGAAAGUAAACACAGUUUAGGAGGAUGUGAUCUACAUUGUCUUUCUCUUGGUCAUACAAGAAGCAUGCCAAGGAAAUGUCCUGGAGCCCAUGUCUGCAUCUUCUGUCAGACGUCCAAAUCCUAUGUUGCAUAGCCAGCCACAUGAACAGUUUGCAAGCCAUCGGGGCCCAGCAACUCCAGAGUCCUAUGGAGCAUUCAUCUUGGUUGUCAGCCUUUUCGAGAUGCAUGUGCGCCCUCUGCCUGCGCGCCGCGUGCGCGUCGUGCGCUGCGCCAAAGCGCACAGCCGCACGAACCCUAGCCCCCAACCCGCAGCCGCCACAAUCUUCCCUCCUUACUUCCUCGUCAACACAGGCGCCGCACCCCUCCCUUCUCCCCCUUCCCGCAGCCCCAGGAGCUCCGCCGUACCAUUCGACGAGAUCCACCGCCUCCCGAGGUCCAUAUCCACCCCAGGUCGCGAGGAAGUCGCGGGAGGAGGAGAACCCUCGUCGCAAGGAAGAUGCAGGAGGAGGAGGUCAGCCGGGCGUCGCCGGCCGGAGAAGGAGGAGAGGCGGGGAUGCCAGCCAAGGAGGCGGAUCGCCUCGCCUCUGCUGCACUGUGAGCGCUGCCGCUGCCUCUGCAUCCACCUUGCCCCGCCGUCAUGGGAUGAGGCUCACCAUGGAAGAGCAGCCGUAGGUGCCAUAACAUCUAAAGAGCUGCAGUCGGGUGGAGGUGAGGAUGCGUAGCUCGAUUGACAAGAGCAGGGCAGUGGAUUGGAUUGAGGGCGCCUACAUGGCCACGCCGCUGCUGCCGUCUAGAGUCGCCUUGGGCCGCCGCCUCGAGUGGCCUCCAUCGCCGCCCCGAGUCAAGUCCACCACUGCCGCCAGGAAUCCCGUCCCCGGCAAGCGACCUGCUGAUGUUGCUGCUGUGCUGGCCAGGGAGUGAGUCCACUGACAUACGGACACAAGAGAUAUUCAGUUAUGAGGAUUAUAGGAUAUUAAUGAUAGUUCAGUCAUUGAGGAUUCGAAAAGAGGCAUCAAUGCUCCAGUAGAGGUGGUAUUGAAGUUGUGGCUGUCAAUAGUCCUUAUAUUGAUGCUAACUACAUGGCCUAUAUGUUCAAGUAUGACUCCACUGAUGGCCCCUUUAAAGGAUCCAUUAAGGUCGUGGAUGAUUCAAUACUGGAGAUUAAUGCGAAAAAAAUCACAACCACAAGCAAAAGGUAAAUAUGCCAGGGUUAGCUGAUUAUUUUCCAUAUUAGUGCGGUUGAUAUAGAUGUUGUGGUUUCUAAAUAUGCAUGACAUGUUGUCCUGAAAUAAGGACAUGUGAAGCAAUGAAGUCGCCAAAGUAACAUUAUUACUUAAUAAUUGAUAUAUAGUUUAGAGCCCCAUGUUUUUUGCACAUUCAUACGGACAUAUAAUAGCUUACAAGUGCACGCUUGUUGUACAUCCCGAGUACUGGAUGUUCCUUCUCUUAUUUUGAUUCUGAUGUUCAUAUGUUGAUUUUCUGCGAUGGAGGGAAAGGAGAAGUCUGAAUGUGCCAACAAGUAGCGACCAGUGAGCUAUUGUCUAUGAUUGGCUAUGGGAGGAGUUGUCUUGUGCUGCAUGGGCAUCUUGCAGAUCGAUUUCCUUGGUUUGAUGUAUCUCGGAUUCUGAUUAGUCUUUGAUUUCCCACAUUUGUUUGGAUGUUUUCUUUGCACCAAGCACCAUGCUUUUUGAUCACUGGUCAACUUGCACAGUACUAUCUAAGCAUAGUUGUUGGUUCUGAGCUUUUGCAGCACAUAACAAAUUCUAGCUUUCAAGGAAUUAUGAUAUUGGCCAUUUCCACUGAACAUGAAGAGGGCGCAUGUACGGACAUGUAGAAACUGGAGUAAAUUAACAUAAUCCCGUAGAAUGUAGUCUGGGAAUAGUACGCCAACUCAGUGAGGCAAGUACUGGCCUGUUUUGCCAUCCCUGUGAUAAAUGAAAGUUAGUUUAGGUAAUCUUGGUUAUAAAAUCAUUUUCUUAAAGUUUUAACUUAUAACUGGACAGAAAUUGUUAUUGCACCUGAAUAUUUGAUUAUGAAUCAGUAAGAGGAAAUGGGGCGUUGUUAGGCGGGACCUUGCCACUGUUGCCUUGGGUUUUGGCUUCGAAGCACCACCAUGUAUGGCUAGCCUUCCAUGGCUACAUCGAGGGUCCCAAUCUGCAGGUGAGCUCUUCUUUUCAUCUGCAGGUUAUGACUAUAGUUUGUGAUUCAUGGCUACUAUAGUCCUUCCAUGGCUAAAUCUCCACCUCAAUGAGAUUGUAAUUGUGCCAGAAACAGACUAGGCUAAAUCUCCUCCUCAAUGAGAUUUAGUUUGUGCAUUAACGACUAUAGGUUUCUUAUUGUUUUGGAGUGGUCUGCUUUCAUUUUCUCCAGUUCAGUCAUGUAUUUCUUUGCACCCAUGUUCGCUUCAGUAUUCCCUUCCGAUUCUCACACUUUGGUUGCGGCUUCUUUGUUUAUGUUGGAAGUAUUAGACAGAUAAUUUGUUCAUUUAAGUUGUCUCCUCUUUGUCCUCUUGUGUCACAUUAAAUCAUGGUAUAAUAGAUAAUUCAGUUAACUGAUUGUUUGCCAUAUUAGUGCAGUUGAUAUAGAUGUCAUGGUUUCUAAAUAUGCACGACAUGUUGUCCUGAGAUAAGGACAGUGAAGCAAUGAAGUGGCCAAAGUAACAUUAUUACUUAAUAAUUGAUUCAUAGUUUAGAGCCCCAUGUAUUUCGCACAUUCAUACAGAUAUAUAAUAUCUUACAAGUGUAUGUUGUUGUACAUCUUGAGUACUACAUGUUCCUUCUCUUAUUUUGAUUCUGAUGUUCAUAUACUGGUUCUUACUGAAUUCUGGCGUUGAUUCCAAUUUUUUGCGGAACUCCAGGACCCCGUGCAGUGUGCAUUGGACAGUGUUGUGGAGGGUCCAAUUUCCUCAUGAUUUAAGAAGCUCGGUGUAGUACCAAACAUAAUUUGAGAACACUGGCUUGUUUUGUAGUCCAUUCCCAGCACAUGUGUUCGGAAGACUGGACACUUCUUGUACUUACUCGAAAUUUUCUUUUCAUAAAAAGUUCCUUGGAAGGGAUUGCAAAGUUUAACGAGCAUGUCCCUUUUACAUCUAUUUACAGUGUGUUUUCUUUUGGUUUCACCACAUUUUUAGGUUCACAUUUUUUACAGAUUGCGUAUAUUAUAGGAGGCAUUGAUGAUGAAACAUGAAUGCCCGUUGUUCUUGUCCGCUCCUGAUCUCAGUAGACCUGUGUGAUGUGCUCUUGAUCCUUUCUCUCUUUUUUAUUAAAUGAAUCUCUGACUGAGGAGGACAUGUUCUUUAAUUAGAUUGCAAUCAUGAAACUUCUUUUGGGUUUUCUUAUUGUACAAUACAAAGCUUCCAAAUUGUUUGAUCCUGGAAAUAAGUUAGCAAAUUUCUGUGUGCAGUGAGCUGGGAGCCGGGGUCAUCUGGUACUGUCCUAUCACUCAUUUAACUAUCUUAAUUUGUUCACAAAACUCCUUCUGUAGCUAAGAUUUCUUUGUACAACACGUACUAAUUAUUGGUCUUAUUCUUAAAUCUUAUUUCACGUUAUUCAGCUGCAGGCUGGGUUAAGAUUGUUUUUGUGCCAGAAACAGACUAGGCAAUGCUCUAACCUUGGCAGCAAAAAUUGUCUAAAUUCCGUAAAUAAGGUCGUGGAAUAUCUUUGAAUACGUUCAUUUAAAUAUCUUGAGUUGACCUGUAUGGGUUGCUUCUGUGCACACUCUCUUUGAUAUGAAUUUCUAGGAGAGAAAUUCUUUCAUGGUAAUGAUGUAUUAUUGAUAUUUACUCUGUUUCUUAGGCCUAUAGGUUUCUUUUUGUGGGAUGCAAUUACGGCACCACAUGAAUAUGAUCCUUGAGUUGCAUAUUAUUGCCCUUUUGGACAUAGGCAUGUGCCAUGUAGUAUAACAUUUAUAAAGAAUGUCUUGGAAAUUGUAAGUAGAUGAUUACGGUUACCCUGUAACUUUAGGAGUAAGAUAUAUAUGGUGAUUGAAUCUAGAGAUGCUUGCUAAUCUAUAACAUUAAGAUCCAGUCACGUGCAAUAUGUUUUAUUCACAGAAACAUGGAAUCAAUCUGGCUGAAAGUAAUCAUCUUAUGGCGUGGCAUGAAGAGAUGUGUGCAGAUCUGAGAAAGAAGAGGAAUAAUCCAGCAGAAGAAUUUGGUGAAUAAGAACAAGUUGGCAUUUCUCUCUUGUGAACACAGUCAUGCCUGCCUUUUGAUUUUAUUGUUUGUACUAAUGCAAACAAGAAUUCUCUAUAGUUCUUGAUGCAACACCGCUAAUUACUCAAUCUGCAAUACAUGAUUAUUUCUGGGAGAAGUUUAGUGCAUGAAUUAGCAUUCUGUAAAGUCCGUCUAAGCUCAUUUCUCUAGGCCAGGAUAGAUUUCUCAAUGUCAUUUUUGGGAUUGUUUUAACACUGAACAACAUUGCCAGGUCAACCGUUUCUCAUGUCUUUGUCAUAUCUGUAGGUAUUGUGGUGUCUCAAUUUUGUCACCAGCCUCUUUCACCGACCUGUAAACUAUCUGUCUCGAGGUCUCCCUAACUGUAUUUUGGGUUUAGAAAAAUAAAUAACUAUUUUUGGACUUAUUUUUGCAUCAGCUACUUUGUAGGUAUUAUGUGCGUUGUUAGGGAUCUGAUAUCAUGUAGUUCCAGGGAUUUCAGAUGGUCUGGUCAGUCCAUUGUUCUUGCCAUGUGAUACUUUCUCUCAUUACUGUGAUCGUCAGUGCUCUUGACAUCGGUUACUUUUUCUUAUUACUGUGAUCGUCAGUGCUCUUGACAUCGGUUCUUCUUUAUGGUUGCCUUCCCAGUGCACUUUUAUUACUUCUAACAUAUUAAUUUUAAUAUGCUUGAUUGACCAUAUUAUAUAUUUCACUUCACCGGGUGGUUGGUGGAAGUGUUGGUUAAAAUAUUUUGGCUAAAACAUUGUCUCUAAUUAUCAAGUUUAUACAGUUGAAUCUUCUUGAUUGACUAUUUUGUAGUCUGCUCUUAGUUGUACAAUAUUAAUUCUUAAAACUGGAUAAAUUUAAUGAGUUGUUUCACUGUUUUCAAAUAGGUAGCUUCAGCCCUCACUGUGUCCUGAAGCUUAUUCUUACUGCCUUUUCAAAUAAGUUUUUUUCCUUGGCACUACUGCCGCUGUGUACAGAUGGUUACUGAAAGAAGGAUUCAAGCAGCAUACCUUCACUUGACAGAUGCUUUAACCGCAAGAACUGUUGUUAUUUUCUUUUCCUUUCCUGCAAUGAUGGUAGUUCUCCUUUGAUUCUAGAAACCACAAAGGAGUGAAGGGUAGAGAUAUCCAUUGUCGUUGAAUUGGUGGGAUUGUCGCCAAGUUAGUGUUGCAGAUUGUUUCUAUUUUAGAGCAAGAAGCCAAAUCAUGUUGUUCAUUUUAAAUCUUGAAAAACUUGUUUACUGUCACUUCUAUAUCUAUUAUAAACUUUCGUUCCUGGUGUGGUA
Non-coding RNA from Aegilops tauschii subsp. strangulata, 7407 nucleotides. NCBI's taxonomy places the organism in Eukaryota, Viridiplantae, Streptophyta, Magnoliopsida, Poales, Poaceae. The record is from RefSeq and is a predicted model, not a curated record.